GACGAACGCGGCGGCGUGCCUAAUACAUGCAAGUAGAACGCUGAAGGAGGAGCUUGCUUCUCUGGAUGAGUUGCGAACGGGUGAGUAACGCGUAGGUAACCUGCCUGGUAGCGGGGGAUAACUAUUGGAAACGAUAGCUAAUACCGCAUAAUAGCAGUUAUUGCAUGAUAACUGUUUAAAAGGUGCAAUUGCACCACUACCAGAUGGACCUGCGUUGUAUUAGCUAGUUGGUGGGGUAACGGCUCACCAAGGCGACGAUACAUAGCCGACCUGAGAGGGUGAUCGGCCACACUGGGACUGAGACACGGCCCAGACUCCUACGGGAGGCAGCAGUAGGGAAUCUUCGGCAAUGGACGAAAGUCUGACCGAGCAACGCCGCGUGAGUGAAGAAGGUUUUCGGAUCGUAAAGCUCUGUUGUAAGAGAAGAACGAGUGUGAGAGUGGAAAGUUUCACGCUGUG
RNAcentral lists this ribosomal RNA (459 nucleotides) under Streptococcus mitis. Its description in RNAcentral is "bacterial SSU rRNA". It matches the Rfam family "Bacterial small subunit ribosomal RNA", at positions 28 to 471 of the family's 1533-position model. Lineage: Bacteria; Bacillati; Bacillota; Bacilli; Lactobacillales; Streptococcaceae. The record is from RNAcentral.